This 28-nucleotide small RNA is filed under the name Bombyx mori (domestic silkworm). RNAcentral describes it as "piRNA piR-bmo-1757182". The record is from RNAcentral. Lineage: Eukaryota; Metazoa; Arthropoda; Insecta; Lepidoptera; Bombycidae.
UACUUUGUUAGCGUCGACAAUUUUUUGU